ACGUAGGUGGCGAGCGUUAUCCGGAUUUACUGGGCGUAAAGCGUGUGCAGGCGGAUGGCCAAGUGGUGUAUGAAAGCUCCAGGCUUAACCUGGCGAGGACAAUGAAGACUGGUCAGCUAGAGGACGGUAGAGGGGUGUGGAAUUCCGGGUGUAGUGGUGAAAUGCGUAGAGAUCCGGAGGAACACCAGAGGCGAAGGCGACCCCCUGGGCCGUACCUGACGCUAAGACGCGACAGCACGGGGAGCGAACGG
This 251-nucleotide ribosomal RNA is filed under the name uncultured prokaryote. RNAcentral's name for it is "partial 16S ribosomal RNA". It matches the Rfam family "Bacterial small subunit ribosomal RNA", at positions 525 to 775 of the family's 1533-position model. The record is from RNAcentral.